This 445-nucleotide ribosomal RNA is filed under the name uncultured bacterium. RNAcentral describes it as "SSU rRNA". It matches the Rfam family "Bacterial small subunit ribosomal RNA", at positions 26 to 518 of the family's 1533-position model. The record is from RNAcentral.
AGAGCGAACGCUGGCGGCAGGCCUAACACAUGCAAGUCGAGCGCGUGUAGCAAUACACGAGCGGCAGACGGGAGAGUAACACGUGGGAACGCGCCCUUCGGUUCGGAAUAACUCAGGGAAACUUGAGCUAAUACCGGAUACGCCCUUACGGGGAAAGAUUUAUUGCCGAAGGAACGGCCCGCGUCCGAUUAGCUAGUUGGUGAGGUAACGGCUCACCAAGGCGACGAUCGGUAGCUGGUCCGAGAGGAUGACCAGCCUCACUGGGACUGAGACACGGCCCAGACUCCUACGGGAGGCAGCAGUGGGGAAUAUUGGACAAUGGGCGCAAGCCUGAUCCAGCCAUGCCGCGUGGAUGAUGAAGGCCUUAGGGUUGUAAAGUCCUUUUAACGGGAAGAUAAUGACGGUACCGUAGAAUAAGCCCGGCUAACUUCGUGCCAGCAGCCGC